GGGGGGAUACCACUAACAAAUGGAUGGACAAUACACGAUUCUUCUCCAUUCUUUUCUACACAUUACACACACUCACAUAUGAAAUAGGGAGCUGAUAGACAUAUACAGUAGGCCAUAUACACAUAAAUGGAGAGAAAAAUAGCAUACAGUCACCAUUCUCAUAUAUAUGGCACCUCACUAGACGGAGAGGGGGGUUUUUCCUUUCUCUUCUACACACAGUAAAGCACACACAUAGAGUAGAGAGGGAUGGACAAACACUGAUAUACUCACCAGUGUACACCCACAACAACAUUACACCCAGAAUAAAUCAAUAUACUCACACGCACAUCUUGAUCGGAGAAUAAAAAAUGGGGUAAAGUCGAGUGAAAGCAGAGGGGAGGUUGACCAAAGAAAGGAUUGAGAGAGAGAACUGGUCAGAGAGAGGAAGAGACAAAGAGCAGAAGGAGAUAUUUGAGCGAGAGAGGAGAGAAAAGGGAUUGAGGCUGACUGUUCCGGCGUUCUUGGCCGGGAAUAGCAUCCUUUCGCCAGAAAAUAUUUAAUUCCGGUCACUGCUAAUUUGAAUUGAUCAUUUUUUAUCCUGAAUUUGGUUAAUUUUCAUCUAGAAACAGUCAUAUAGGCUUCUGGUUUUUUUUUGUUCGGAGCCUUGAUUUCGAUUUUGUUUUCGUUUGUUCUUCGUGGAGCCUUGCUCGAAAGCGGGUCUGAGUAAAUUGGAGUUCUAGAUGGAAGUUGUUGAUUUGGGUUCGUGAUUGAGGUUCGACGUUGAGGUUCCUCUUGGACGCGGUUCUAUUCGGAAAGAUCAAUUAAUUGAAAUAAAACGUCAAAUUGAGUAAGGUGUGUUGAUACAAGCAUGAGGAGCACAAGGAUUACAAGUUUCUGUUGAAGGUCCACUUUUCGGAUUUGCAAAGGAAUUGAAGACCUUUUGAAGCCUUUUUCAAAGCCUUGUCCAAGCUCGGGAACUACAAAGACUACAAGGCGCGUUUAUGAAAAUGGACGCGGUUGAGCAUUUCUUAAGUUCAUCCAAGGGAGUGUAUGUAUUAAAGUGUGAAGACAUGCCUUGAGUGCCUUAAAAACACUACAAGUCAGCCCCAUUUAUACACUCCAAACUCACCCCUUCAUUAAGGGUAAAUGUGUCAUUUCCCAUCUCUUUUGUAAUAGACUAUAAGUAGAAAUCCCUUAGUCUUAUUUUUUUAGUUAGCUCAUUCUUGAAAUCACUUGUAAUAUUGAAAAUCACUUUCCUCUCAAGAAGAGAGUAGACCACCACUUUGACAUCACAAGAAAUGGUUUCUAUCA
Capsicum annuum is the source of this 1290-nucleotide long non-coding RNA. RefSeq lists it as uncharacterized. The record is from RefSeq and is a predicted model, not a curated record. NCBI's taxonomy places the organism in Eukaryota, Viridiplantae, Streptophyta, Magnoliopsida, Solanales, Solanaceae. The transcript has 2 exons.